Molecule: ribosomal RNA, 320 nt
Filed under: uncultured eukaryote
Lineage: Eukaryota
Description: partial 18S ribosomal RNA
Rfam family: Eukaryotic small subunit ribosomal RNA
Source: RNAcentral
CCCCUAGAUGUUCUGGGCCGCACGCGCGCUACACUGAACAGUUCAACAAGUCUGAACCUUGGCCGAUAGGUCUGGGUAAUCUUUGAACGCUGUUCGUGAUUGGGAUAGACCUUUGCAAUUAUGGGUCUUCAACGAGGAAUUCCUAGUAAACGCAAGUCAUCAGCUUGCAUUGAUUACGUCCCUGCCCUUUGUACACACCGCCCGUCGCACCUACCGAUUGAAUGGUCCGGUGAAAUCUCGGGACGGCGGCUUGGUCGCUUGCGUCCGACUGCUGAAACUUGAUUAAACCAUAUCAUUUAGAGGAAGGUGAAGUCGUANCA